Molecule: ribosomal RNA, 399 nt
Filed under: uncultured bacterium
Lineage: Bacteria
Description: bacterial SSU rRNA
Rfam family: Bacterial small subunit ribosomal RNA
Source: RNAcentral
AUCUUGCGCAAUGGGCGAAAGCCUGACGCAGCAACGCCGCGUGGGGGACGAAGGCCUUCGGGUUGUAAACCCCUUUCAGCAGGGACGAAACUGACGGUACCUGCAGAAGAAGCCCCGGCCAACUACGUGCCAGCAGCCGCGGUAACACGUAGGGGGCGAGCGUUGUCCGGAUUUAUUGGGCGUAAAGAGCUCGUAGGCGGUUCGGUAAGUCAGAUGUGAAAGUCAAGGGCUCAACCCUGGGAAGCCAUCUGAUACUGCCGUGACUAGAGUCCGGUAGGGGAGCGUGGAAUUCCUGGUGUAGCGGUGAAAUGCGCAGAUAUCAGGAGGAACACCAGCGGCGAAGGCGGCGCUCUGGGCCGGUACUGACGCUGAGGAGCGAAAGCAUGGGGAGCGAACAGG